GAUGAACGCUGGCGGCGUGCCUAAUACAUGCAAGUCGAGCGAACAGACGAGGAGCUUGCUCCUCUGACGUUAGCGGCGGACGGGUGAGUAACACGUGGAUAACCUACCUAUAAGACUGGGAUAACUUCGGGAAACCGGAGCUAAUACCGGAUAAUAUAUUGAACCGCAUGGUUCAAUAGUGAAAGACGGCUUUGCUGUCACUUUUAGAUGGAUCCGCGCCGCAUUAGCUAGUUGGUAAGGUAACGGCUUACCAAGGCGACGAUGCGUAGCCGAGCUGAGAGGGUGAUCGGCCACACUGGAACUGAGACACGGUCCAGACUCCUACGGGAGGCAGCAGUAGGGAAUCUUCCGCAAUGGGCGAAAGCCUGACGGAGCAACGCCGCGUGAGUGAUGAAGGUCUUCGGAUCGUAAAACUCUGUUAUUAGGGAAGAACAAAUGUGUAAGUAACUAUGCACGUCUUGACGGUACCUAAUCAGAAAGCCACGGCUAACUACGUG
Molecule: ribosomal RNA, 497 nt
Filed under: uncultured bacterium
Lineage: Bacteria
Description: partial 16S ribosomal RNA
Rfam family: Bacterial small subunit ribosomal RNA
Source: RNAcentral